This 352-nucleotide unclassified non-coding RNA is filed under the name Boswellia ovalifoliolata. Its description in RNAcentral is "partial external transcribed spacer". The record is from RNAcentral. Lineage: Eukaryota; Viridiplantae; Streptophyta; Magnoliopsida; Sapindales; Burseraceae.
GAGACAAGCAUAUGACUACUGGCAGGAUCAACCAGGUAGCAUUCCUUCACGACGCCGACGCCCGCAUGAGCGCCCCGAGCCGCGAGGUCGAGGGCUGGAAGACGAGCGCGGCGGUCGUUCGUGUCAUUGGACAAAAUGCGUUGCUUGGGCAAAAGGAGGCCGAGAAACCACCCACCCGCGCAUAACAUUCUACAUCCGAGAGCACGGGCAAAGCACCUCGUGGGCCGAGGCAGCCACGCAAUUGGGCGAGGCGUGCCAAGAACACGAGGGUUGCCUAACGUCCACCCCAACACCCGCGAGGGCAUGGGGCAGAGAGGAACAAACAGACCGUCGAAUUCCUUCGGGUAGGUAA